UUCUCCUUUAAUCUCCCUCAAAGCCUAAUCUCUUCAAAUCUCAGAAGCUAUGCAGGGCUGGUCCUGGUUAGUACUUGGUUGGGAGACCAGAGUACCAGUUGCCACAGUGGGGC
This 113-nucleotide ribosomal RNA is filed under the name Periophthalmus magnuspinnatus. The record is from RNAcentral. Lineage: Eukaryota; Metazoa; Chordata; Actinopteri; Gobiiformes; Gobiidae.